AUGAACUCGCCGGAACUCACGACCACGAACGGAAACGCAAGACACACAUUCCUUUUUCCGCCCGCGCUCGCUUACAAUUCUCCUCCGCCAGUGAUGCAUCUCAACUGCAGCAGAAGACUCGUACACCUGAGCUCUUGGACGCACCUUACAAGAACUCAUAUGCAGACCUUGAUGACGGCUCGCAACAUCGCCAUCUCCACCUUGCACCCUCCAACGAUGAUCUCGAUGAUUUUCUCGGUGUCGCAACUUCGGCACCUUCAUAACCAUCAACCAUCACCAACGCCUUGCCGACGACAACCCUGA
RNAcentral lists this ribosomal RNA (303 nucleotides) under Triticum aestivum (bread wheat). Its description in RNAcentral is "partial small subunit ribosomal RNA". The record is from RNAcentral. Lineage: Eukaryota; Viridiplantae; Streptophyta; Magnoliopsida; Poales; Poaceae.